This 253-nucleotide ribosomal RNA is filed under the name uncultured bacterium. RNAcentral describes it as "partial 16S ribosomal RNA". It matches the Rfam family "Bacterial small subunit ribosomal RNA", at positions 524 to 776 of the family's 1533-position model. The record is from RNAcentral.
GACAGAGGGUGCAAGCGUUGUUCGGAAUUAUUGGGCGUAAAGGGCGCGUAGGCGGCUUCAUAAGUCAGAUGUGAAAUCCCGGGGCUUAACCCCGGAAGUGCGUCUGAUACUGUGAAGCUUGAGUCCUGGAGAGGGCGGUGGAAUUCCCAGUGUAGAGGUGAAAUUCGUAGAUAUUGGGAGGAAUACCGGUGGCGAAGGCGACCGCCUGGACAGAGACUGACGCUGAGGCGCGAAAGCGUGGGGAGCAAACAGG